RNAcentral lists this transfer RNA (83 nucleotides) under Methanobacteriota archaeon. RNAcentral's name for it is "Euryarchaeota archaeon (groundwater metagenome) tRNA-Phe". Lineage: Archaea; Methanobacteriati; Methanobacteriota. The record is from RNAcentral.
CGUGGCACAGCAGGUUACUGCGACCGCCUGAAGAGCGAUUAGAUCACAACCGAUCUUCCUGGGUUCAAGUCCCAGCCCCAGGA